RNAcentral lists this ribosomal RNA (870 nucleotides) under Coniella vitis. Its description in RNAcentral is "partial large subunit ribosomal RNA". It matches the Rfam family "Eukaryotic large subunit ribosomal RNA", at positions 66 to 964 of the family's 3401-position model. Lineage: Eukaryota; Fungi; Ascomycota; Sordariomycetes; Diaporthales; Schizoparmaceae. The record is from RNAcentral.
CAACAGGGAUUGCCCUAGUAACGGCGAGUGAAGCGGCAACAGCUCAAAUUUGAAAUCUGGCUUCGGCCCGAGUUGUAAUUUGCAGAGGAUGUUUCUGGCGCGGUGCCUUCCGAGUUCCCUGGAACGGGACGCCAUAGAGGGUGAGAGCCCCGUAUGGUUGGAUACCAAGCCUGUGUGAAACUCCUUCGACGAGUCGAGUAGUUUGGGAAUGCUGCUCAAAAUGGGAGGUAAAUCUCUUCUAAAGCUAAAUAUUGGCCAGAGACCGAUAGCGCACAAGUAGAGUGAUCGAAAGAUGAAAAGCACCUUGAAAAGGGGGUUAAACAGUACGUGAAAUUGUUGAAAGGGAAGCGCUCAUGACCAGACUUGUGCUGGGCAGCUCAUCCGGGGUUCUCCCCGGUGCAUUCUGCCCAGUUCAGGCCAGCAUCGAUUUUUGCUGGGGGAUAAGAACGGUAGGAACGUGGCCCUCCUUCGGGAGGGUGUUAUAGCCUACCGUACGAUACCCUAGCGGAGAUCGAGGUUCGCGCAUCUGCAAGGAUGCUGGCGUAAUGGUCAUCAGCGACCCGUCUUGAAACACGGACCAAGGAGUCGUCCAUUAGAGCGAGCGUUUGGGUGUAAAACCCGCACGCGUAAUGAAAGUGAAAUUAGGUGAGAGCUUCGGCGCAUCAUCGACCGAUCCUGAUGUUCUCGGAUGGAUUUGAGUAAGAGUUUUAACGGACGGACCCGAAAGACAGUGAACUAUGCUUGUAUAGGGUGAAGCCAGAGGAAACUCUGGUGGAGGCUCGCAGCGGGUUCUGACGUGCAAAUCGAUCGUCAAAUAUGAGCAUGGGGGCGAGAGACUAAUCGAACUGUCUAGUAGCUGGUUACCGCCGA